GUAGUAUUCCCUUCGUCCCAAAAUUCUUGUCUUACAUUUGUUUAGAUACAGAUGUAUCUAACACUAAAAUGUAACUAGAUACAUCCAUAUUUAGAAAAAUUUAAGAAAAAAAUUUUGGGAUGGAGGGAGUACAAA
Non-coding RNA from Triticum aestivum (bread wheat), 135 nucleotides. NCBI's taxonomy places the organism in Eukaryota, Viridiplantae, Streptophyta, Magnoliopsida, Poales, Poaceae. The record is from Rfam.